GCUGAGAUUUCGUCACACACCAGUCCACAAGGGCUGAUGAGACUUCCAAGAUAAGUGAAGCG
Molecule: non-coding RNA, 62 nt
Organism: Schistosoma mattheei
Lineage: Eukaryota; Metazoa; Platyhelminthes; Trematoda; Strigeidida; Schistosomatidae
Source: Rfam